RNAcentral lists this ribosomal RNA (497 nucleotides) under uncultured bacterium. RNAcentral's name for it is "partial 16S ribosomal RNA". It matches the Rfam family "Bacterial small subunit ribosomal RNA", at positions 28 to 507 of the family's 1533-position model. The record is from RNAcentral.
GAUGAACGCUGGCGGCGUGCCUAAUACAUGCAAGUCGAGCGAACAGACGAGGUACUUGUUCCACUGACGUUAGCGGCGGACGGGUGAGUAACACGUGGAUAACCUACCUAUAAGACUGGGAUAACUUCGGGAAACCAGUGCUAAUACCGCAUAAUAUCUUUAAACACAUGUUUCAAUAUUGAAAGACGCAUUUGCAUCACUCUAUGAAUAGCUCCCCGCGUAUUUAGCUGGUUGGUAGGGAAACGCUCUACCAAGCGAAGGAUCAUAGGCGAACUGAGAGGGGUGUCCGGCCACACGGGAACGGAGACACGGUCCAAACUCCAACGGGAGGCGGAGGAAGGGAAUCUUGGGCAAGGGGGGAAAGCCUGACGGAGCAACGCCGCGUGAGUGAUGAAGGUCUUCGGAUCGUAAAACUCGGUUAUAAGGGAAAAACAAAGGUGGAAGGAACUAUGCACGUAGUGACGGUACCUAAUCAGAAAGCCACGGCUAACUACGUG